CAUAAGAAAUAAGUAAUAACACUAAUAACUAAAUCUAAUUCGGUGUAAAUGUAUAAUUUUAGAUCCUGAUAGUGAAGUGAUGUGAAAAAUAUAAUUAUAUACAUUUAUAAUUAUGUUAUUUUCAUUUAUAAGAGUGAUCCAAUACCUUCGUACACAUUAAGUUAACCUAAUGAUUAGGUAACAUCAAUAGUUAAUACCAAUGUUUUUUUUGUAUCAGGAAUUUCCCUAGGUCGCUAAAAAAUUAUCUAUAUGUAACCAUUGAGAAAAUUUGAAGUAUCUGUUUUUCAAGUGAGCAGUGGAUGCAUUGGCGUGGCCAAUGAUAAUAAUUUCAGAGACAAUUGCUCUGAGAUUUUUUUAAGUAGAAAGAUGGGCGGUGGUGCAGUCAGUGAGCUCUCUAAUUAUAAAUGAAAAUGUUCUGUUCGAAAUGCCACUUGACAGAUGAGUACUUACCUGACAACAUAUAAGAUAUUUGUACGAAUUUAUCCUGGCAGUUUUAAACGAUAGAAGGUACCAUUUAAAAAAGGCAAUUUUUAUAAUAAAAAAAAAUGUUAUUUUUCAACU
Aphis gossypii (cotton aphid) is the source of this 561-nucleotide long non-coding RNA. RefSeq lists it as uncharacterized. The record is from RefSeq and is a predicted model, not a curated record. The transcript has 3 exons. NCBI's taxonomy places the organism in Eukaryota, Metazoa, Arthropoda, Insecta, Hemiptera, Aphididae.